AAACCGUUCAGGGGUAAACCUGAGAAACCCGAAAGAUCGAAUGGGGAGAUUCAGCGUCAGCGGCGUUGGCUCGGUGAAGUGAGCGAUGUAACGGACCAUCAUGGUAUCGUUACACGUUAUCGCUUGCCGUGUCCGGCGUCGUCGUCGUGCACUUCUCCCCUAGUAGAACGUCGCGACCCGUUGGGUGUCGGUCUACGGUCCGAGGUGUUAAGACUGUCGCGUCGCUUCGGCGCAUGCGACAGGCCCUCGGUUGCCUGGCCGGCUGCCCGGCGGUAGAACGUGAGGUAUCUGGCCGCAAUUUCGAACUGCGUCGGGACCGCCGCAAGCGAGGCCAGUGUCUCGGAGGUACGGACCUGGUGCCGUCCCCGAGCCUGGCCAGCUGUUGGCAGGCGGAAUCCUCAGACGGGCAGCAAUGGUACCGGUCGGCGACGCUACUGCUUUGGGUACUCUCAGGACCCGUCUUGAAACACGGACCAAGGAGUCUAACAUGUGCGCGAGUCAUUGGGAUUUAAAAGCCUAAAGGCGCAAUGAAAGUGAAGGUCGGCUUUACGUCGACCGAGGGAGGAUGGGCAGCGCUAUGACGCGGCUCCGCACUCCCGGGGCGUCUCGUUCUCAUUGCGAGAAGAGGCGCACCCAGAGCGUACACGUUGGGACCCGAAAGAUGGUGAACUAUGCCUGGUCAGGACGAAGUCAGGGGAAACCCUGAUGGAGGUCCGUAGCGAUUCUGACGUGCAAAUCGAUCGUCGGAACUGGGUAUAGGGGCGAAAGACUAAUCGA
This 777-nucleotide ribosomal RNA is filed under the name Stenodynerus anormis. RNAcentral's name for it is "eukaryotic LSU rRNA". It matches the Rfam family "Eukaryotic large subunit ribosomal RNA", at positions 402 to 938 of the family's 3401-position model. The record is from RNAcentral. Lineage: Eukaryota; Metazoa; Arthropoda; Insecta; Hymenoptera; Vespidae.